UGCCCUAACCCUCUGCCUGCGCUUUCGCCCUCGCCCUCUCUGUCGCCGUUGCCCCUUCUCUCUCAUCGUCUCUCUCUAUCUAUCUCGCCCCAUCAAUCCCUCCCCGCAAUUCUUCCAACCCUUUGGAUCAGAGUAUAUCAUCUCUUUCUCACCCUCUCCAACGCAGAAACAAUCACCAGCUCCUCUUCUUAAAAAAAAGGAUAACUUUUCCUUCCUUGGUUGGUUUUGAUUCUCGGUCCUGGUACCAAUCUAGUCUCUCCAGGGGCCCCUUGCUGGGUUUUCUCUGCUUGGAUGCCUUUUUAGCUGCAUCUGUUCUUUGGUUUCGGUUAAAUUGUGUUGGGUUGUUAAUUUUGGGGUUGAAGCUUCACGUUCCUUAAGGUAUACCAUAUGCUUCAAGAAAUACUCUGUAAGGAGAGCAAAUAGUAAGUAAGAGUUUUUAGGGUUUUCUCGACAAUUCGCACGGAAAAGCUCAACGGGCAGUCCCCGCCUACAUCGUAAACCGUCGACCUGGGAUCCAAUUUUGGUCGCAAAUAGUAAUUCGCAGAGGAAGCUGUUGUUGUUCAUAAACCUUAUUGUGUCGGAAUAGUGUUAGUUUCUUGAUUUGGGGAUGAGCGAUUCAGCGUGCAUUAAGAUCCGAAACAUUUGUAUUCUUGCCCAUGUUGAUCAUGGCAAGACGACCCUCGCUGAUCAUCUGAUUGCAGCAUGCGGUGGUGGGGUCCUCCACCCGAAGCUUGCUGGCCGGUUGAGGUAUAUGGACUACCUUGACGAGGAGCAGAGGCGGGCUAUCACGAUGAAAAGUUCUUCAAUUGCUCUCCAGUACAAGGACUACAAUAUAAAUCUUAUUGACUCCCCAGGUCACAUGGAUUUCUGCAGUGAAGUCUCCACAGCUGCACGUUUGAGCGAUGGGGCCUUAGUUUUAGUUGAUGCAGUCGAAGGGGUUCACAUCCAGACCCACGCUGUCCUGCGACAGGCUUGGGUGGAGAAGUUGACUCCUUGCUUGGUCUUGAACAAGAUUGAUAGGCUGAUAACUGAGCUAAAAUUAAGUCCAAUGGAAGCUUAUAACAGAUUGCAGAGAAUAGUUCAUGAAGUCAAUGCAAUUGUUAGCGCCUACAAGUCUGAAAAGUAUCUUUCCGAUGUUGACUCACUUCUUGCAGGGACAUCUGGAGAUGCAGAUCAAGAAUUGAUAGAGGUGGAGGAUGAUGAGGAGGAUAUGUUCCAACCACAAAAGGGGAACGUAGCAUUUGUUUGUGCAUUGGAUGGUUGGGGUUUCUGUCUAAGCCAUUUUGCAGAGAUUUAUGCUUCUAAGCUUGGAGCCAGUAUGACAGCUUUGGUAAAGGGGUUAUGGGGGCCUCGUUACUAUCACACAAAGAAAAUGAUGAUUGUAGGAAAAAAGGGUAUAGAAGGUGUUACUAAGGAUCCUCAGCCUAUGUUUGUGCAGUUUGUGCUUAAGCCUCUGUGGCAGGUCUAUCAGGCAGCUCUAGAGGCUGAUGGAGACAGAAGGAUGCUUGACAAGGUCAUCAGUACUUUCAAUUUGUCUGUCCCACAGAGGGAGCUCCAAAAUAAGGACCCGAAGAUUGUGCUCCAAGCUGUCAUGAGCCGGUGGCUUCCAUUAUCAGACACAAUCCUCUCGAUGGUGGUCAAGUGCAUGCCUGAUCCUAUCUCUGCACAAUCUGCUCGCAUUUCUCGGUUGCUUCCGAAGAGAGAGUUAGUGGUUGAUAGUCCCAGCUUUGGCUCUGAUGUGGUUGCUGAAGCAGAGUAUGUGAGGAAGUGUGUCGCGUCUUGUGACUCUAGUGUUGAUGCUCCAUGUGUAGCAUUUGUUUCCAAAAUGUUUGCUGUUCCAUUUAAGAUGCUACCACAAAGGGGCUUAAAUGGUGAAAUCCUGAACAAUCAGCCCACUGGUGAAGCUGGGGAAUCAGAUGAGUGCUUUCUUGCAUUUGCAAGAAUCUUUAGUGGGGUCCUCCAUUCUGGGCAAAAGGUCUUUGUGCUCUCGGCUGUGUAUGAUCCAUUAAAAAGUGAAUCCAUGCAAAGACAUGUGCAAGAAGCAGAGCUUCAAUCUUUAUAUUUAAUGAUGGGUCAAGGUCUUGUACCAGUAUCCUCAGCAAGUGCAGGUAAUGUGGUGGCAAUUCAAGGACUAGGUCAGUUUAUUUUGAAGAGUGCAACUCUCUCAUCUACCAGAAACUGUUGGCCCUUCUCUAGUAUGAUGUUUCAAGUGGCACCUACUCUUAGGGUAGCUAUUGAGCCUUCAAAUCCAGCUGAUAUUGGUGCACUUGUGAAGGGUCUAAGGCUUCUCAAUCGCGCAGACCCUUUCGUGGAAAUUACUGUUUCAUCCAGAGGUGAACAAGUGCUUGCAGCUGCAGGAGAGGUUCAUCUUGAAAGGUGCAUAAAGGACUUAAAAGAAAGAUUUGCCAAGGUUAGCUUGGAAGUUUCACCUCCCCUUGUCUCAUUCAAAGAGACCAUUGAAGGGGAAGGUAUCAACUUAUUAGAGAUUUCAAAGGCAUUCUCAUGUUCUACUGAAUAUGUUGAAAAAACUACACCAAAUGGUAGGUGCACCAUAAGAGUGCAAGUCAUGAAACUUCCUCGUACUUUAACAAAGGUUCUUGAGGAAUGUUCUGAUGUUUUGGAAGAUAUUUUUGAGGGGCAGUCUAGAAAGAAAGAUGGAAGUUUGGGGUCUCACAUUACUCAGGAUGAUUGUGAACUCGUUGAAGGAGUCAGAAAGCGCAUAGUUGAUGCUAUUGAAAGUGAAUUAGAAUUUGUUGCCAAGAAGAUCGAUAAAGAUAGAGUUGAAAGAUGCCGAAGAAUGUGGUUUGAAUUUCUUCAAAUGAUCUGGUCGCUCGGUCCUUCGCAGGUUGGGCCAAAUGUUCUUCUAGUUCCAGAUUCUGGAACAGGCAACGUUGACAGUUGCGGUCAAGGGCAAAGGGGUAUGCUCAUACGGGGUUCAUGUGAUGUUUCUAAAAGGUUAGGUUUUCUGAAUACUGAUAUACAGACCGGCAGUAGUCUUACCAGUCUUGAUGAAUUGGCAGAUGAAACUGAAUUAUUGUGUAUGGAAGCUGAAGCUCUUAAAAGCAGCAUUGUGUCUGGAUUUCAGUUAGCCACCGCUGCUGGGCCUUUAUGUGAUGAACCCAUGUGGGGUUUGGCAUUUCUUGUGGAACCUUACAUUUUCCGAGACACUUCUGAUGCUUCCAAUCAGUCUGACCAGUACGGUAUCCUCGGCGGGCAAGUUAUGACCACCGUUAAGGAAGCUUGUAGGGCAGCUGUGCUUCAAAACAAGCCAAGGCUUGUGGAAGCUAUGUACUUCUGUGAGUUGAAUACACCAACAGAAUAUUUGGGAGCCAUGUAUGGAGUUCUUGGAAAGAUGCGUGCAAGAGUAUUGAAAGAAGAGAUGCAGGAAGGCUCCUCCUUGUUUACUGUACAUGCCUAUGUACCUGUUGCGGAAAGCUUUGGGUUUGCAGAUGAGCUUAGGAAACGAACUUCAGGGGCUGCAAGUGCACUGCUUGUUCUUAGUCAUUGGGAGGAACUACCGGAAGACCCUUUUUUUGUUCCAAAGACAGAGGAGGAGAUCGAAGAAUUCGGAGAUGGUUCCAGUGUCCUUCCAAAUAUGGCAAGGAAACUUAUGAAUUCUGUGAGACGAAGGAAAGGCCUUCAUGUGGAGGAAAAAGUUGUUCAGCAUGCAACAAAACAGAGGACACUGGCCAGGAAGGUGUGAUCUGUCAUCUAGUGUAUCCACUGCAUAAUUUUGCAAUCAGAUAUUGCUUUUUGCUUGGAUUUUUUUUUUCAUUGCUUCUGCUAUAUUAAGAUGUUGGAAGCACAUGGGCUGGUUGUUGCUAAAGAUGUAAGUUGGAGUCAGAGUUGCAAAAACAAAGUCUAAAAAUACUACAGUUUGCAAAGAGGAAUGAUUCCAUUAGAACUUAGAACAUCAGAGUUCAUGAAUGAGUUUCAGCGACAGUUGAUGUUAAUAUAUCAGAGAACUACAGAGCUUGGUCAUCUUUUAUUCAAGAGAAAAAGGUUGACAUCUAGUAACUGGAGCUGGAAAGAACAUUAGAGAUUUGAACAAAAAUUGCAAGAGAGGAAGUCACUUGUAGUGAAAGGAAAUCGAUAAGUGGUCUUAUUGGUGACACGUUCAGUAGAAGUGAAGAAAUUACCAUCAGAAGCACUGCUGAAUUUGCUGUAAGGAGCUCCGCUUUUUUUAUUGUAGAACAAACAACACUCAGGGAUACUCUUCCUUUCAGUUCCAAACAAGAAGGUGAACGUGGACAGGGAUACUCUUCCUUUCACUAGACAUACUGAUAAUUGCAGAGGAAAAUCCACCCAGAGUAAGAUUAAGAAGUAUCCAUCUCCAUAACUUUUUGAAGCAUUGUUACUCCAUACUCUGAUUUGGAACGUGGAGGAGGUAGCAGAUCAAAUUUGCAAGAACGUUUGACAAUCAUCAUUGUUCCUCGAUUCUUAAUGGUUGUCACAUUGAUCAGCUGAUGGAUGAUUUGACUGAUUACUGGACUUAAGAUUUAUCUUGGCUAUUGCUAGAUUUAUCCUGUAUGAUUGUUUCUGGUGCCUGUAUUAUACAUGUUAUUUUAUAUACUUGUACUCUUUAACUUUGAUAUGAGAAAUAAAAUAAUUUCCAACUUUUAUAGAUAAA
Musa acuminata AAA Group (dessert banana) is the source of this 4630-nucleotide RNA transcript. RefSeq lists it as uncharacterized. The transcript is spliced from 5 exons. The record is from RefSeq and is a predicted model, not a curated record. Lineage: Eukaryota; Viridiplantae; Streptophyta; Magnoliopsida; Zingiberales; Musaceae.